GACGAACGCUGGCGGCGUGCUUAACACAUGCAAGUCGAGCGGUAAGGCCCUUUCGGGGGUACACGAGCGGCGAACGGGUGAGUAACACGUGGGUGACCUGCCCUCAGCUCUGGGAUAAGCCCGGGAAACUGGGUCUAAUACCGGAUAUGACUUCAUGACGCAUGUUGUGGAGUGGAAAGCCUUGUGCGGCUGAGGAUGGGGCCCGCGGCCUAUCAGCUUGUUGGUGGGGUGAGGCCUACCAAGGCGACGACGGGUAGCCGGCCUGAGAGGGCGACCGGCCACACUGGGACUGAGAUACGGCCCAGACUCCUACGGGAGGCAGCAGUGGGGAAUCUUGCGCAAUGGGCGAAAGCCUGACGCAGCGACGCCGCGUGAGGGAUGACGG
Molecule: ribosomal RNA, 385 nt
Filed under: uncultured bacterium
Lineage: Bacteria
Description: bacterial SSU rRNA
Rfam family: Bacterial small subunit ribosomal RNA
Source: RNAcentral